Molecule: ribosomal RNA, 491 nt
Filed under: uncultured bacterium
Lineage: Bacteria
Description: partial 16S ribosomal RNA
Rfam family: Bacterial small subunit ribosomal RNA
Source: RNAcentral
GUGAACGCUGGCGGUAGGCCUAACACAUGCCAGUCGAACGGCAGCACAGUAAGAGCUUGCUCUUACGGGUGGCGAGUGGCGGACGGGUGAGGAAUACAUCGGAAUCUACUUUUUCGUGGGGGAUAACGUAAGGAAACUUACGCUAAUACCGCAUACGACCUACGGGUGAAAGCAGGGGAUCUUCGGACCUUGCGCGAUUGAAUGAGCCGAUGUCGGAUUAGCUAGUUGGCGGGGUAAAGGCCCACCAAGGCGACGAUCCGUAGCUGGUCUGAGAGGAUGAUCAGCCACACUGGAACUGAGACACGGUCCAGACUCCUACGGGAGGCAGCAGUGGGGAAUAUUGGACAAUGGGCGCAAGCCUGAUCCAGCCAUACCGCGUGGGUGAAGAAGGCCUUCGGGUUGUAAAGCCCUUUUGUUGGGAAAGAAAAGCAGCAGGUUAAUACCCCGCUGUUCUGACGGUACCCAAAGAAUAAGCACCGGCUAACUUCGUG